Molecule: ribosomal RNA, 254 nt
Filed under: uncultured bacterium
Lineage: Bacteria
Description: partial 16S ribosomal RNA
Rfam family: Bacterial small subunit ribosomal RNA
Source: RNAcentral
UACGGGGGGGGCAAGCGUUGUUCGGAAUUACUGGGCGUAAAGGGCUUGUAGGUGGCCAACUAAGUCAGACGUGAAAUCCCUCGGCUUAACCGGGGAACUGCGUCUGAUACUGGAUGGCUUGAAUCCGGGAGAGGGAUGCGGAAUUCCAGGUGUAGCGGUGAAAUGCGUAGAUAUCUGGAGGAACACCGGUGGCGAAGGCGGCAUCCUGGACCAACACUGACGCUGAGUGAGCGAAAGCCAGGGGAGCAAACGGG